Molecule: long non-coding RNA, 2215 nt
Organism: Fukomys damarensis (Damara mole-rat)
Lineage: Eukaryota; Metazoa; Chordata; Mammalia; Rodentia; Bathyergidae
Exons: 4
Source: RefSeq, a predicted model, not a curated record
UCCCGACGCCCCCGAGAGAUGUGGGCGCCCGGCUUCGCCCUCAGAGGGGCAGGGGAAGCGGGGUGAGGAGCUGCACAGGCCUGGGUCCUUCUUGAGAACCAGCAGCCCCGUCGGGUCGUCAGGUGGAGGGACGUUGAAAAAGAGGAUCACGGGGUGACCAGGCCCCGCUCUUCCUCCAGCACUGUGCUGCCGUCCACUCAGCAGUGGAGAGCGAGACCCUUCCCCACACCACAGGGGAGGGAAGAAAGCUGCUGUUUCCGAACCCUACAACACGCGUGAGGGAAAUAAGUGCCUCUUUCUCCCGGGAGGAAAACGCCCUCAUUUUAUCUCCGGGAGCUUCACAUCUCCCAGCUGGUAGUCAUCCCUGUUUUCCCAUCAGACGGCGACAGCCCACGGAGGCUGCGCAGGAUGAGUGGACCCAACGGGCGCCUGUGAAGGGCUCUGAGCCCACAGCCUGGGGACAGCAGAGGGGACCAGAGCAGCCCGCACAGAAUCGCAGGGGACCUGGCAGCUCCCUCCCAGGGAGUCCUGCUGCUCAUUUGGAUUUUGCCAAAGUUGAGAGCAAAAAGAGUGGCACCGUUGGCUACUUUUUUGGUUUUGUUUUCGGAAGCACACCUUACAGGACAGCCGACAGAGGGGGGACAUUGCUAUUCAAGUAGAGUUCACCAGAUUCCCUUCCCGAGAGAUGGUGCGUGUUCCUAACGGGCGGAAAAGUGGGAGUGCUGAGGAGCCCUGAGGACGGGGCGGGCCUCUUCUCCCUCCGCCGUGACUCCUGAGGGUCCGUACACCUGUGGGCCUGCGUUCAGGGCGGAAAUCCACUUCCAAGACGCCAGCCAAGUGGAGAAAGCGCUCGGCCACCCUGGGGCAGGCUCUCCGUGUGCUCAUUUGCAUAGCUUUGAUCCCUGGUCAAGUUGAUCAAAACCAGAUGACCAGGAAAAGAAGCAGAUGAGAGCAGAGACAGACAGCCAGCUCAAGGGCCCGGACCAGGCCAGCAAAAUCCCUGCUUCUCCUGCUCCUGUUUUAGGCUCCCCUGCUCCUACCCAAAGAAGUCCCGACGCAUGGAGGCUCAGCACUGCCACUCCACCAGCAACCUGCCAGGGGCCGGCUCUGCCACGUCUUGUCCAGAGAUUCCUUGUCGAGGGACACUGUUGCAGUUGUCCUCAUAACCAAUCUCUCCUCGUGUCCCCUUUCACAGACCUUAAGAUGCUACCUGCUGAGUUUGUCUGUAUCCUUCUCACACCAAAUGUGCCGUUUUUUUUCUUACCUACUUAAAGAAUCACCCUGUCAUGCUCUGUCCCUAAAUGCAACAACCCCAUGGUACAGUUAAAAAAAGAAAAUCAUAAGACUGAGUUACAGUCAAAGCACUAACUUGUGCGUGCUAAACAUCACCACCUGUGAGUCCCUGGUUCCAUUAAAGCCUUACAGGAUCCCUGCUAUAACAGGAAAGACCCACUAUAUCACACCCCUGAGUGGACAACUCGGUGAGGUUCUUCUUUUGUUUUUCUUUUUGGUACUGGAGAUGGAACUCAGGACCUUGCGCUUGCAAGGCAGCUGUGGUGCCAGAGCUAAAUCCCUGGCCUCCUUGGUGAGGUUCUUCUACUCUUCACCCCUGGUAUUCCUUUAACUUCGCCCAUCUAUCAGGAUGAUGUUACCCCACUCUUCUUACUAUCUUAAUACCAUUCUUUGGUUUUACAAUCUCACCAAACAUAUACCCGCAACUUCCAGAAUGUGUCUGCCCUGACAGGUGCCUCCUCCGCUCAGGGCAGUGAAGACAGAGGGCGCUGGACACAUAGCUGUCUAACUUCCCAGAAGGUGGGAGGACCACGCCCUCCUCCCACUGGGGUGCUUAACAAAUCCCCCCGUCGUUCUCCAGUUAAUGACCCCAGCGGCACCCCCUUAGGAUCCUCAUCCUUGUCUGAGCAGGGCCUAUUCUAUUAUAAAUUACUGCCUCCUUGGACGGCCCCUCCGUUUCUAAGAAUGACAGCCACACACAGCAGGCCCACACAGCCGAGGGACUCCAGACCCCUCUGGGGCUCCAGUGGGCUGAGAGUUGAAGGAACAAGUCUAUUAACAGUGCAGGAAAGGUCGGAUUGUGCACUCCCUCCAGGCUGUGCCAGUUCCCAUGAGGAUCCGACAUCCUUCCAAAUCUAGCCCAUCCUGAGCUAGGCGUGCUGGCACACGCCUGUAAACGCAGCACUCUGAGGCUGAGGCAGGA